UACGUAGGGUGCGAGCGUUGUCCGGAAUUAUUGGGCGUAAAGAGCUCGUAGGGGGUCUGUCGCGUCGAUCGUGAAAACUUGGGGCUUAACCCUGAGCUUGCGGUCGAUACGAGCAAACUAGAGUGUUGCAGGGGAGACUGGAAUUCCUGGUGUAGCGGUGAAAUGCGCAGAUAUCAGGAGGAACACCGGUGGCGAAGGCGGGUCUCUGGGCAGUAACUGACGCUGAGGAGCGAAAGCGUGGGGAGCGAACAGG
Molecule: ribosomal RNA, 253 nt
Filed under: uncultured bacterium
Lineage: Bacteria
Description: partial 16S ribosomal RNA
Rfam family: Bacterial small subunit ribosomal RNA
Source: RNAcentral